RNAcentral lists this transfer RNA (72 nucleotides) under Stackebrandtia nassauensis DSM 44728. RNAcentral describes it as "tRNA-Gln (TTG) (tRNA-Gln-TTG-1-1)". It matches the Rfam family "tRNA". Rfam says of the family: Transfer RNA (tRNA) molecules are approximately 80 nucleotides in length. Their secondary structure includes four short double-helical elements and three loops (D, anti-codon, and T loops). Lineage: Bacteria; Bacillati; Actinomycetota; Actinomycetes; Glycomycetales; Glycomycetaceae. The record is from Rfam by way of RNAcentral.
UCCCGGGUAGUGUAACGGCAGCACGGCAUCCUUUGGAGAUGUUCGGUGAGGGUUCGAAUCCUUCCCCGGGAG